RNAcentral lists this long non-coding RNA (1933 nucleotides) under Oryctolagus cuniculus (rabbit). Its description in RNAcentral is "lncRNA (ENSOCUG00000031341.1)". Lineage: Eukaryota; Metazoa; Chordata; Mammalia; Lagomorpha; Leporidae. The record is from RNAcentral.
AUGCAUCUCUUGACAGAUUCUUCAGGGAGCAGAGAGCAUUCGCAUGGAUGGGCAUCUCAGUUUUCCCAGCAUAUGCUGUUUGCCCUUUCCCAACAACCACGCUUGAACAUAAUUAUGCUGCCUCAAACCCGGGCUGCAGAGAGCAUCCCUGACAGCUCCAAGUUCCUGUUAACUCCUGAAAUUCUGAAUUCCACGGUGCCCAGAUCCCGACGUCGAGAUCACAGACCACGUGUCGUCUUCAGCCCCAAGAAGCCCCUUCGCCUCCUCCCCGGGCCGACCUCGCCAGGCUGUUAACUCCCUCCCGCCCCUGCCUUCCUCUGCCCCCGCCUCCACCCGGUGCAACAGGAGUGGCACGAUUAAAAAUGAGGAGAUUCUCUUGUUAUUAACAAAUUUGACAUUUGCCUGAUGAAAUGCGCAUACAAUGUGAAAGCUACGCAGUCCUGGGAAGGAAUGUCUCCCCUCCCACGCCGGCUACAGGAUGAGACCAUUUAGGUGAAGGAAGUGUAACGAUCCUCGUCUGUCUCUGCUGUGCAGUGCUGGGCUUGUGUUAUAAAUGAAGGCGCCAAACAGUGUGGCGCUUUCAGACUGAUAGCAUGUUGACACAUGUGACGUGCGCAGUGUUUCAUCUCUCACCUUAGCUGCAUAAACAGAGCACAUAUGCUCCAAUGCGGUCAUUUGCCUCGGAGUCCAGCCUCUCCCUGGUGACACCUUGGGGCUGGGGUUUUGUUCAUUUCUAGAGAAAAAUGUGGUCCACCCUCCACCCCCCAAAAACAGGUUGAUGAUUUCAGCUUUUCUACUUCUAAAGCUCAUCAAAUCAAUAUUUUACCAACACGAUGCUAAUUUAAAACACCAUCAAAUAACACUGCGGAUACAUAUUGAAAACAUAUUUUAAUGGCUUUGUUUGUUUUGGCAUCAUAUGAACCAAGGACGAUUAAAUUAAAAAGAGACUUUUAAAAGUUAGAGAUUGCCUUUUUAAAGCUUAUUAAAAUCAGCAUGUUACAUGCCUGUCUGUGAAUUAGCUCUACACACUUGAUUGCCAUCAUUAAAACUAGUUGUUUGGGUGCUGCUCAAAGCCGAUUCUGACUAGUUAUUACUUGAAAUCUCUUUCCACGGAAAUGAAAAAAAAAAAAAAAAAACGCAAAAAAUCUUUCUAAGUGGAAGGAGAAAACAGUCACCAAAAUGUGAGCUGGCACAGCGACACAGCGGCAGCAACCCCAGGCAGACCAACAGGUAAACUCACGACAGGACAUCGGACACAGGGAAAAACAAAACCCAAACCCAACCCACGCAACAGCAACAAAGACGCAGUCAUUGAUUGUAUUUCCUGAAUGUCUUAAACAAAUGUUUGAACAGUUUCCUGAGACAGCGCAGAGAACCUCUGCCUGCUCGCUGGCUGCAGGGACAAUGGUCUGUUGCAAUGGAAACCACGCGGGAGGAGAAAAAGGUGCUUUUUGUUACCAUUUUAUCAAAGCUGUUCAUCCUCGAGCUGCAGGCCGCAUUUUGCUGGAAUUGCAGAUAUUUCUCUGUCCAGGCUCCUUUGUUUGUGCAUCUCAUUUGCAUAUAUUUAUCUCCAGCUGAGGGUGCUUUCUGCUCAUUAAGGCCUCCCUUCAGAUUAUUUCAUAAGCCAGCUGCUAAGAGGGAUUUCACCUGUGGUGACUGAGAAAAGAGGGGCGAAAAACUAAAUUCUUCAUAAAAAGGGAAUCUUCGGAGUCUCUUCCCCUAUAAAUGGGCACCAUUUGUGUUAAACAGCCUCUUGUCAUGAUAGAUGCCUCCAGAGGUCAGGGGUUAAAGUUGAUUUGAAGGUCAGCAGUAAAACAACAGACAAACCAGACGCCAAACUGGUUCCUUAGCUGUCGGUGGGAGCUGUGGUACAACCAGGUCUUGAACCUUUUUCAACCUCUAAUAAAACAGGGGAUGAAUCUGAAGUGGAUCA